This is a non-coding RNA of Vicia faba (fava bean), 204 nucleotides long. The record is from the annotation of a GenBank genome assembly. Lineage: Eukaryota; Viridiplantae; Streptophyta; Magnoliopsida; Fabales; Fabaceae.
AUGCCAAAACCUGAGGCAGCACCUGAAGCUGCAAAAUCUCCAAAUGAUUCUCCGCAACCAAACAAUUCACUUCCUAUUGAUAAUGUUGUGAGUUCAAAAAAGUGUAUAAGGAACACUAAAAAGACUAAUAAGAAGGCACAGAUGGAAGCUCAGUUAAAAGCUUUAUCUAGCAACCAAGACAAUCAUCCUUGUAUGUCACAGUAA